Molecule: unclassified non-coding RNA, 2482 nt
Filed under: Apis dorsata (giant honeybee)
Lineage: Eukaryota; Metazoa; Arthropoda; Insecta; Hymenoptera; Apidae
Description: uncharacterized LOC102680981, transcript variant X2
Source: RNAcentral
AUAAAGCGAACCCACGCGAGAGCGCGGGCCGCAUACCACGGUAGCGCGUCGUUCGAAGUUUAAAGUUGACAAUUCUACGUAUAAAAAUCUUUCGAUUCUAAAUAAACGCAUGUCCAUCUACGUUCCAACGAAAAAUUUCUACGAUAUUCGAUUACAUCGUUCCAUCUUAAAGCGCGAUGCGCAGUAAACUCGAGGAGAUCGAGCCGCAUGGCGACAUCGUGUAUAACCAGUGAAAGACACGCAAUAUUUAUCCCGCUAUAUGUUUAUGUUUAUUCACCUUUGUGGUUAUGGAAACAGUGAUCAGAGUUUAUAUAGUGGAUAUAUGCCGUAGACUCGAUUACUAGUGAAUAUUCCCCACUCAGUGCUUCAACAAAGAUCAAAAAUCGACCAGUCGACCAUUUUUUUCUCGAUCCACGCCGCAUACCCGGUUAAAAUCAUUGCGGUUAUGCGAAUACCAGUCGAGAAUCACUGUCGAUGAAUUUAUCACUGCUCAAGAUCGAUAAGUAGAUAAGAAUUGAUCGGGAAUAUCCACGAAUUAAAAACAAUCAUGGCAUUAGCGAGGAUCAAGAGUUUCAUAGAUACUGGUUUCAAGACUGUGUCCACUCCGUUGGAUCGCACGGUGAAUCUGGAGCCGGAAGUAGGCAUUAAAAUCGUUCAUUCGAUCAACGAGAAAGCUCUGCACGUGACGGUACUUGGUGCUCGUCACUUGCCGCAGAAUUUCGGCUUUACUCGUGUCAACAGCUACGUAGUCAAGGUGAAGUUAAUACCAGGAAAGGAAAAGUUCGAGACAACGUCGAAAAACGAGUCGUGGCCGCAAUGGAACGAGGAAUUUACGUUUCACUUGCGAAAAGAAACAAAACAGAAAUUUGGUAAAACGAAAGUGAUCGAAGAGGAGAUAAGCGGUUCCAGAUUUAUCGUCGCGACUUUAUACGCGAUUCUCGAGGAUAAACCAUUAAUAGCGACUGAGAAGAAGGAAUCCGAGAAAGAGAAAACGUCGCCCACUAAAGAAUCCCCUAAGAAGAGCAACAAGAAAAAAGAUGGUCAAGGUGCUUCCACGGAGAAUCAGGAGCCAACGAAGAACAAAUUACUCAGUCAAUUUUUCGGCAAGGGAACCGAUAAAUCCGUGGAAACCGCAACUCCAGAAAGAAAAUUGUUUGAUAAGAGGCGAACUGUAGGCGCCACAACGAUUUCCUUGGAUCCGAAGAACUUCACUUCGAAGCCACCCAAAGCUAAACAUCCAAGCGACGUAUCGACAGGAGAUAUGUGGAGACCAUUGCGACCGAUUGCUAGUGGUAUUUCUGGAGCUGAAGAAAGAAAGGAAAAUAAGAAAGGCCAAGUCGAGUUGUCACUGUGCCAAGAAAAGGCCGAUAAGAAAGAGGAGGGUAGCGAAAAACUGAUACUGUCCCUGCAUCGUCUGAGAUGCUCGUUACAAACGAUGCACGAGCAUGAAGCCUUGAAAGGACAGAUGUAUAUUAAGAUGUCCGUGGUAGAUGACGGUAGAGUGACUCAUUUUUGGAAAAGCGAUCGUUUUGCGCCAUGUGUGUCGAUGAAAUUUUCGCCGGAAAUGGCUAGAGUGAUUGCGGAUAAUCCGUAUCAGGGAGCAUUGAAGGAUGUUAGCUUCGUUGUUAAAUUCGUCUCGAAGAAUAAAUUAGGAAAGAAAACAACUGUUGGUCAUUUUGUGAUCGGACCAGAUGUAGGAGGAACUUACGGCGAACAAUGGAAACAGGCUUUAGCGAAAUCAGGACAACAAAUAACGAAAUGGCAGUCAUUCGAGUGAGAAUGAGAGAAAAUAGAUCAAUAAACUUAUCGAGCAUUCUUGGCUCGACUUUUACUCAUAGUUUUCCUUCGACCAUAAACCUACUUUCAACCUGUGCGAAUAUUAUGAAUAUUUGAGCACAUGGUCGAUAGUGCCGUUCCAAAGAAUACUUAGGCAAACAUCUGUGGAUACAAAAGGUUAUUAGAGAGUCCGAGUUAGAAGUUAUCUCUGAAAGAAGAAAGUAAAUUUUUGUGCCAGAUCGCGACCAAGUAAUUUUUAGCUGUUAAGUAAGUUACGAUAUAAUGCAGAUGUAACAAAGCGCUUUUGUUCUAUUUACUACUAAAUUGAUCUUCAAUUUUACAUUAAGAUAGAUCAUUAAAUCAAUGGAAAGUAUUUUUUUCGUCAUGUAUAAAAUAAAGUAUUUUAUAUUAUAAUAAUACUCGAUGUUACUUUUAAUGAUAAUAACAAUAUGUAUUUGCUCAUCUUUUCAAUUAUAAUUUUCUUUGAUCAUAUUAUAUCGUAAAUAAUUAAAAAUAUUAAAGUAACGUUUAUUAAGAACUAUUUAUAUUAUUGUAAUUAAUUGUACAUGUAUUUUGUAACAAAAAUUAAUUAUAUAAUUCAACAAAUAUUGUUAGAAUCAAUAUACAAUCACACCAAAAAAUCUGUAUGUACAAUAUAAUGUUUUUGUAUAACAGAAAUAUAUUUUAAUACACCUGUUAUAUAAAG